This 656-nucleotide long non-coding RNA is filed under the name Helianthus annuus (common sunflower). The record is from RNAcentral. Lineage: Eukaryota; Viridiplantae; Streptophyta; Magnoliopsida; Asterales; Asteraceae.
UUAGGUACUGUUAAAGUUAGAGCUUUUGUGGCAUUAAUCUUUUGAGUUAGAAAUGAUAACUUGUAAUGAAAAUAUAAUUUGGUGGGCGAAUUUUAUGUAGCCCGCCCCUCUCUAAAAUUAGGGUUUUGAUCAUUUUAACCCUUGUCUCUAAAAUUACACCCCCCAUGUCGAAGAACCACUCUGAUAAAAAUCUCUGACCAUAUCGAGACUCUUCAAAUUUGUACCAGUUCGCUCGCCGUGAUAUAGAUCUUGAUCGUACUGGUUGCCAUUAAGAAAAUGAAGAGAAAAUAUUAUUCGUGGGAAGAAUGCAUAAAUUUGAGAGAAGUCAAGAUUGAAACGUUGAACUUGGUUAUCAAGGAGCUCGCUAAGGAAAAUAAUGAAGAAAAAGAAAUGUAAAAUGAAAUUGUUGGCUGAAAAAGAUAAAGUGGAUGAAGAUGCUAGAGUUACGAUUCGAAGAUAGGCUAUAAACACUUGGUUUUGAAGGUUUCGAUGUUUAUUAUAUAACGAUAGUUUCGGUUACUUGAUAUUUUAGUUUGUAUUUUUGUUAGAAUGUUUUAUGACUUUGAAAUAGGAAAUACUGAAAUAGAGAUGUUUUGUAUAAUUUUAUGAUUUUGUAAUUUUAUGGAAUGUUUUAUAUAAAUUUGUAACUUUAUUGA